CAUGCAAGUCGAGCGGGGAGAUGUAGCUUGCUACAUUUCCUAGCGGCGGACGGGUGAGUAAUGCUUAGGAAUCUGCCUAUUAGUGGGGGACAACGUUUCGAAAGGAACGCUAAUACCGCAUACGCCCUACGGGGGAAAGCAGGGGAUCUUCGGACCUUGCGCUAAUAGAUGAGCCUAAGUCAGAUUAGCUAGUUGGUGGGGUAAAGGCCUACCAAGGCGACGAUCUGUAGCGGGUCUGAGAGGAUGAUCCGCCACACUGGGACUGAGACACGGCCCAGACUCCUACGGGAGGCAGCAGUGGGGAAUAUUGGACAAUGGGGGGAACCCUGAUCCAGCCAUGCCGCGUGUGUGAAGAAGGCCUUUUGGUUGUAAAGCACUUUAAGCGAGGAGGAGGCUACUAGUACUAAUACUACUGGAUAGUGGACGUUACUCGCAGAAUAAGCACCGGCUAA
This 452-nucleotide ribosomal RNA is filed under the name Acinetobacter bouvetii. Its description in RNAcentral is "bacterial SSU rRNA". It matches the Rfam family "Bacterial small subunit ribosomal RNA", at positions 54 to 500 of the family's 1533-position model. Lineage: Bacteria; Pseudomonadati; Pseudomonadota; Gammaproteobacteria; Moraxellales; Moraxellaceae. The record is from RNAcentral.